Molecule: long non-coding RNA, 964 nt
Filed under: Orussus abietinus
Lineage: Eukaryota; Metazoa; Arthropoda; Insecta; Hymenoptera; Orussidae
Description: uncharacterized LOC105696982, transcript variant X3
Source: RNAcentral
CAAGAAAACAAUUUUCAUGGUGUCAUAUCACCGGAAGGACAAUUACCUUAUCCUUGAUAAGAGCACAAAGCCCGAGCAACUACAAAUUUCUAUGACAAAUACAAUUGCGGGAGUUCCGAGGGGUUGCUCAGAAAAUCGACUUUAAUACUUGAGAUCACAUGGAAGUCCCAAGCAGAAAUCGCCGAAACCAUACAAAAUGAUAAGCAAUCUUUCUCGAAAAAGGAAAUCGUUUUCACCGUUUUCCGAGUGAAUUUCCCCUCGAGAAUUUCGUUGCGAAACUGAAUUGUAAUCUGUGUGCGAGUGCGGUCCAAGGAAAAUUUUGGAGAUCCAAUGUGCAAUUAAAUUAAAUGAGAUGUAUCGCAUUGCGAUUAAGUAAUUGCGGUUUAGACCACGGGCGUCGGUCUCGGAGUUCUACGCAGCCAGCGACGACUAUCCAGUCACUAAAGUGGCACACUGGAAGAUACCAGGUAGAAGGUCCGACCUCCGGCAAAGGACAUGAGGGUAAUAAAAGCGACGCCACGUACGAACAAAGGCAAUCGAGACGGAUAUACAAAAACCACUAAGGAACAUAAUCGUCCAUUAAGCACGUACUGAGGAUAACCGCAGGGUAUUUAAGUUUCUUCCCUUCUAAAGUCGUAAUACAAAAUCAUUAAUUGUUGUUUAAUUAAUUUUAAGCGUGAUCGCUCUAUAUUGAUCAUUUCAUCGUAGGGAAUUGGAGCAAUCGACAGGAAUGUUAUUAUUGAAACUGUUCAAUUGUCAAGCUACGUACGUAUAUAUACAGUGAACCGACGGAUGUAUAACUUUUUUAAUUGUUAAUGUAGAACUCACAUAUUUAACGGAAGGAUCUCCCAGUUCUUCGCUGUUAUACAAUGACAAUCACCAUAUUAUGAAAACUUUACUUUUAUUCAUGUUAGAUAUAUCAGUUCGUCUAGGGAAUCAUAUAAAAGGUCACCGAUGAAAAUGA